Triticum aestivum (bread wheat) is the source of this 115-nucleotide non-coding RNA. The record is from Rfam. NCBI's taxonomy places the organism in Eukaryota, Viridiplantae, Streptophyta, Magnoliopsida, Poales, Poaceae.
CAACUACUCCCUUCGUUCUGAAUUAUUUGUCAUGGGUAUGGAUGUAUCUAGAUGUAUUUUAGUUCUAGAUACAUCCAUUUCUGCGACGAGUAAUUUGGAACGGAGGGAGUAGUUA